Molecule: ribosomal RNA, 533 nt
Filed under: uncultured bacterium
Lineage: Bacteria
Description: bacterial SSU rRNA
Rfam family: Bacterial small subunit ribosomal RNA
Source: RNAcentral
UAUAGAUACCCUGGUAGUCCACGCCGUAAACGAUGAGUGCUAAGUGUUAGAGGGUUUCCGCCCUUUAGUGCUGAAGUUAACGCAUUAAGCACUCCGCCUGGGGAGUACGGCCGCAAGGCUGAAACUCAAAGGAAUUGACGGGGGCCCGCACAAGCGGUGGAGCAUGUGGUUUAAUUCGAAGCAACGCGAAGAACCUUACCAGGUCUUGACAUCCUCUGACAACCCUAGAGAUAGGGCUUCCCCUUCGGGGGCAGAGUGACAGGCGGUGCAUGGUUGUCGUCAGCUCGUGUCGUGAGAUGUUGGGUUAAGUCCCGCAACGAGCGCAACCCUUGAUCUUAGUUGCCAUCAUUCAGUUGGGCACUCUAAGGUGACUGCCGGUGACAAACCGGAGGAAGGUGGGGAUGACGUCAAAUCAUCAUGCCCCUUAUGACCUGGGCUACACACGUGCUACAAUGGACGGUACAAAGAGUCGCGAGACCGCGAGGUGGAGCUAAUCUCAUAAAACCGUUCUCAGUUCGGAUUGUAGGCUGCAA